CACGUAGGGGGCGAGCGUUGUCCGGAUUCAUUGGGCGUAAAGAGCUCGUAGGCGGCUCAGUAAGUCGGGUGUGAAACCCUCAGGCUCAACCUGGGGACGCCACUCGAUACUGCUGUGGCUAGAGUCCAGUAGAGGAGUGUGGAAUUCCCGGUGUAGCGGUGAAAUGCGCAGAUAUCAGGAAGAACACCCGUGGCUAAGGCGGCUCUCUAGUACGGUACUGACGCUGAGACGCGAAAGCGUGGGGAGCGAACAGG
This 254-nucleotide ribosomal RNA is filed under the name uncultured bacterium. RNAcentral's name for it is "partial 16S ribosomal RNA". It matches the Rfam family "Bacterial small subunit ribosomal RNA", at positions 524 to 776 of the family's 1533-position model. The record is from RNAcentral.